ACGUAGGGUGCGAGCGUUAAUCGGAAUUACUGGGCGUAAAGCGUGCGCAGGCGGUUCUAUAAGACAGGUGUGAAAUCCCCGGGCUUAACCUGGGAAUUGCAUUUGUGACUGUAGGACUAGAGUGUGUCAGAGGGGGGUGGAAUUCCACGUGUAGCAGUGAAAUGCGUAGAUAUGUGGAGGAACACCAAUGGCGAAGGCAGCCCCCUGGGAUAACACUGACGCUCAUGCACGAAAGCGUGGGGAGCAAACAGGA
This 253-nucleotide ribosomal RNA is filed under the name uncultured prokaryote. RNAcentral describes it as "partial 16S ribosomal RNA". It matches the Rfam family "Bacterial small subunit ribosomal RNA", at positions 525 to 777 of the family's 1533-position model. The record is from RNAcentral.